RNAcentral lists this long non-coding RNA (807 nucleotides) under Theobroma cacao (cacao). RNAcentral describes it as "long non-coding RNA (TCAC_LNC006250)". Lineage: Eukaryota; Viridiplantae; Streptophyta; Magnoliopsida; Malvales; Malvaceae. The record is from RNAcentral.
ACCACAUAGUUCAUAUCAAGGUCAAGGGUGUUACAAAAGGUAAGAACAUGGUAAAUGGUGGAGAUAGAGUUUAUCAAAGGGAUACUGUCACGACCCGAAACUCCCAUCGAGCUAGUGACAACCGCCGCGACGUCCCGAUAAGCACUCAUUACCCCGAAUGCCGAUCGAAACCCCGCAAGGCUUAGCAUCAACUUUCGCAUCUCCCCGGUGAGCGACAGUUAUUAAAUCUCGCAUUUCAAGAAAACAUAAGUUGUUUCCAACUCAAAAUAAUAAAAUAUUAUUUUCUAGCUCACAAGGGCAUUUUCGUCAUUUUUUUUUUCAAAAAUACCGAAACUCGCCAAAAAUAUGGUGUAAAAGCUAAAUAUAUUCAUACAUACUUUAAAUCAAAUAACUAAAGAAUAAAAUUACUUUUACAGUGACACGUGGGCCCCCAAUUAACCAAGAAGGUGUAGAGCUACGAACCCUUACUUCCUAUGAUGCAACUCCGAGAUUAAUUUUCGUCUUAAUCAACUAUCAACAAACUGUCCUGAGCCUGAAAAAUGGAUAGGAAGAGGGGUGAGAUUAAAUAAUCCCAGUAAGUAAACAAUUACCAUCAAAAGCAUCUAAAGCCGAGUAGAUGGAGACAAUAUAAAAAUAUUAUAUCUCAAUAAUGUUCAUAACACAAAAUUCGUUUCAAUCUAUACCAAAUAAUUUCUUUUCAUCAAAAUUUCCCGACUUAUGAAUUUCUUAAACUUGGCCCCUGCCAGAAUCAUUCUCACGGGUACCUUCGUCAAGGUAUCCCACUAAGACCGCCAAGGCUGUUCAAUG